This is a long non-coding RNA of Portunus trituberculatus (swimming crab), 514 nucleotides long. RefSeq lists it as uncharacterized. Lineage: Eukaryota; Metazoa; Arthropoda; Malacostraca; Decapoda; Portunidae. The record is from RefSeq and is a predicted model, not a curated record. The transcript is spliced from 3 exons.
UUUUCCUCCUCCGCCUCCUUGUACAGUGCCGCGAGUGAUCUGUGUCGUGCUGCAGGUGCUUCUCGUGAUCAGGCUUACGGUGGCUCUUGGAGGCGCACCGCAAUUAAAAAGCAGUAUGCAAGCUCCUCACCGCAAGCUACCGACAUAUCAACCCAUGGCUCUCUGUAAAGCUUCGUUAGACGUUGUGGCACUCACGUCAGGAUGAAACAGGCAAGAAAGAUCCCAAAACAUGUGGAAGCUUUAAGAAGGCAAAGUAUUGAUGGCGAAACACACACCGAUAAUUUGCCAGGAAGGAAGCUUCACCUCAGAAAUCAAAGUGAAUAAUGUCCCCACAAUGAAAACACAAUUCAUUAUGAAUCGUGAAAUCUCAAGGGUUUUCUUUUUUUCCUCAAUUAGACAAUUUCCUUCAACAGUAUCGAUUGUCGCUUCACUGCUUAUUCAUCCUUCAAUUGUGAAUAACCAGAGAGUUAAUUGUCUUCUAAAACAAGAGAGAGAAAUGUUUUCGCAGAUUCAU